Boleophthalmus pectinirostris (great blue-spotted mudskipper) is the source of this 213-nucleotide small nucleolar RNA. RefSeq annotates it as small nucleolar RNA U3. The transcript has a single exon. The record is from RefSeq and is a predicted model, not a curated record. Lineage: Eukaryota; Metazoa; Chordata; Actinopteri; Gobiiformes; Gobiidae.
AAGACUAUACUUUCAGGGAUCAUUUCUAUAGUUUAUGACUUGAGAAAUGUGUUUCUAAAGUGUAUGGUCUCGCUGACCACGAUGAAGAGCUGCUGAUACUCCUUCCAGAGCAUGAAGCAGACAGAGAUUUGGUUUAUUCCUCAUGAUCUCUGUACCUGAUGAUUGUUCACUGUUUCCUCAGGAGGCAGUGAGGAGGAGUAUGAUCUGAGUGGU